RNAcentral lists this non-coding RNA (21 nucleotides) under Caenorhabditis elegans. Lineage: Eukaryota; Metazoa; Nematoda; Chromadorea; Rhabditida; Rhabditidae. The record is from RNAcentral.
UUUUUUUUAUCCGCUUAUACG